CUGUGCUGGUGAUAAGAAAAACGGUCCUGGUUCUGUGCUCCUAUGUCCUGGUUCUGUGCCUUUAUAUUUUAGUUAAAAGUGGCAUAUAUUCAAGAUCAUUGAUGUUGUACUGUUAUUGACUAUUUAACUGUUGUCUGCUUUCUUGAAAUUGACAUUGUUGUGAAUCUGUUUACUGUUAUUAUGAGAGAAAAAAUACCCCUAUUUUUAUUUUUUUUUU
Molecule: long non-coding RNA, 217 nt
Filed under: Mytilus galloprovincialis (Mediterranean mussel)
Lineage: Eukaryota; Metazoa; Mollusca; Bivalvia; Mytilida; Mytilidae
Source: RNAcentral